Macadamia integrifolia is the source of this 498-nucleotide long non-coding RNA. RefSeq lists it as uncharacterized. The record is from RefSeq and is a predicted model, not a curated record. NCBI's taxonomy places the organism in Eukaryota, Viridiplantae, Streptophyta, Magnoliopsida, Proteales, Proteaceae. The transcript has 3 exons.
CGUCUCUUAUCUUAUUUAUUAGUAAAUAAAAUAUUUUCUCUUCUCCCCCUUUUAUUAGGUAACAAAAUCAGAGAGCUGUGUCUCCUCUUUAGUCUUCUCUUCCAAAGCCCACAAUAUGCUUUAAGAGAGCUCAAAGAACUCCCUUUCUCUGUUAUUCCUUUGGCUCCAAGUAUGAAACAACCUUAGGGCUUCAUAAUCCUCGAUCGGUUGAAGAAGUUUUUAAGGAUUUCAGAUGAAGAUGUUGAGAAAUUCUUUCAAUAAUGUGAUCCUCGUGAGUCCUAUUUUUUAUUUGGGAUUAGCACGGUUUUGGUUUAAAAAAAGUAAUAGUGACUACGGUAUCAAUUUGGUUUCUGGAUGCUGUUAAAUUGUAUAUUUUGAGUAUUUGAUGGUUGUAAUUACUUAGAUUUCACUUUAGAGUUAGUUGGAUCUCAGAUUCAGAGAUAUCUCCAAUUGUAUCCCUUAUUUUAUUUUCAUGCAAUCCGACCAACUCUUACUUCU